Molecule: ribosomal RNA, 420 nt
Filed under: Suphisellus sp. 'Pronoterus' 1 SMB-2016
Lineage: Eukaryota; Metazoa; Arthropoda; Insecta; Coleoptera; Noteridae
Description: Pronoterus sp. 1 SMB-2016 partial 16S ribosomal RNA
Source: RNAcentral
GCCGCAGUAUUUUGACUGUGCGAAGGUAGCAUAAUCAUUAGUUUUUUAAAUGAAAGCUUGUAUGAAUGGUUGGACGAAAUAAAUACUGUCUCUUUUUAAUUUAUAGAAUUUAAUUUUUUAGUAAGAAAGCUGAAAUAUUAUUAAAAGACGAGAAGACCCUUUAAAGCUUUAUAUAUUAUUAAGUUAUUAUUUUUAAGAUUGAUUUAAUUAAUAAAUUUAGGGAUAUAUUAAAUUGGGGAAAUUGAAAGAUUAAAUAAAUUCUUUUUAAAUAAAACAAAGAUUUUUGGCUAUUUGAUCCAUUUUUAUUGAUUGAAAGAUUAAGUUACUUAAGGGAUAACAGCGUAAUUCUUCUGGGGAGUUCAUAUCUAUAGGGGAGUUUGCGACCUCGAUGUUGGAUUAAAAUUAAAUUUGGGUGUAGAA